This is a non-coding RNA of Pantherophis guttatus, 5327 nucleotides long. NCBI's taxonomy places the organism in Eukaryota, Metazoa, Chordata, Lepidosauria, Squamata, Colubridae. The record is from RefSeq and is a predicted model, not a curated record.
UAUAAAUUAUAAAAUAAUAGAAUAGAAUAGAUUAACAGAGUUGGAAGGGACCUUGGAGGUCUUCUAGCCCAACCCCCUGCCUAGGCAGGAAAUCCUACACCACUUCAGACAAAUGGCUAUCCAACAUCUUCUUUAAAAUUUCCGGUGUUGGAGCAUUUGCAACUUCUGGAGGCAAGUAGUUCUACUAAUUAAUUGUUCUGUCAGGAAAUUUCUCCUUAGUUCUAAGUUGCUUCUCUCCUUGAUUAGUUUCUACCCAUUGCUUCUUGUCCUACCCUCAGGUGCUUUGUAGAAUAGCUUGACUCCCUCUUCUUUGUGGCAGCUCCUGAGAUAUUAGAACACUGUUAUCAUGUCUCACUUAGUCCUUCUUUUCAUUAAAAUAGACAUACCCAGUUCCUGUUCUUCAUAUGUUUUAGCCUCCAGUGCUCUAAUCAUCUUUGUUGCCCUUCUCUGCACUCUUUCUAGAGUCUCAACAUCUUUACAUCAUAGUGACAAAACUGAAUGCAGUAUUCCAAGUGUGGCCUUACCAAGGCAUUAUAAAGUGGUAUUAAUGUGAUCUUGAUUCUAUCCCUCUGUUAAUGCAGCCUAGAACUAUGUUGGCUUUUUUGGCAGCUGCUGCACACUGCUGGCUCAUAUAUAAAUGGUUGUCCACUAGGACUCCAAGAUCCUUCUCACAGUUACUACUAUUGAGCGAGGUACCUCUUAUACUGUACCUGUGCAUUUUGUUUUUCUUGCCUAAAUGUAUAACCUUACUUUUUUCACCAUUGAAUUUCAUCUUGUUAGAUAGCUCCCAAUGUUCAAGUCUGUCAAGAUCCUUCUGUAUCUUAAGCCUAUCUUUUGGAGUGUUGGCUAUUCCUGCCAGCUUGGUGUCACCUGAAUAAUAACGCAAUGGGUGACACUGCUUUCAUUAUUUUGAUAAAAGCAGCAAACUCUUGGGCACUGCUGCAGACAGAUUUCAACACUUACAGUCCAGGUGUGAACUGAAAAUUGUGCAAAACCAAUAAAUAUACAUAUUCCUCUUCUGCUAACAAGAUAUCACAUCAAAAGUGUUACAAUGUGAAAAUGUUCAAUAAUGAUCAACAGCCUCAAAUGUGGCUUGAAUUGAAUACUUUUUUUCCAUUUGAAGUCUUAUAUUACCACACAUUGAACACAUCUAUAUAUCUUUAAAUUAAAAGUGUAAUUAUUUAAAAAUUAUCAAGAUUAUAAAUAAACCUAGGUUCCUAAAAUAAAGCAAGAAUAGAAAGUGAAAUGAAGUGAAAGGAUACAUGUUUUCUACAAUUUCUUGCUAUAUUGUAAAUGUCAUUUUUACACUACUGUUCUUUACCACAAUUUACCACAAUUAAUAGUUGCUAAGCAAAACAGUUAUUUUUGCCACACUUUACAACCUUUCUUACCACAGAUGUUAAGUGAAUCAUUGUAGUUGUUAAGUUAUUAACACAGUUAAGUAAAUCUGGCUUCCCCACUGUCAGAAGCUCACAGAAGGUCAUAUAUCACCUGACCCUGGGAAACUGCAACCAUCAUAAAUAUGAAACAGUUGCCAAGCCUUCUUAUUUUGAUCAGCAAGGGGAUGCUCAAUGGUUGUACGUGUGAAAAACAGUCAUAAGUAACUUUUUUCAGUUCCCUUGUAACUUUGAACAGUCACUAAAUGAAUGAUUGUAAUUCAAAAACUACCUGUAUUAGACUAGACAAAUUUUACUGACUAUUCCAAUUUGCUGUGGAGACUGAUGCAGUUACUAUUUAUUACCUAUUGUUUAAAGGAGUCAAUUAUACUGAAUCAACAAAAUAGAGCUUGGACAAAAUCAUUUUUCACUUGUCCUGGAACAUGUAGCUGUCAGAGAGUAACAGCGAAGAACCUAAUAUCAAUUUUAGCACUCCAUGUCAGUCUUUAUUAACCUGGUAUUCUUUAGGUGUGUUCAACUAUAUGUCUUAUCAAAGGGAACAUUGCAUGUUGCACUUACAUAAUGACAUUGUGGUAGUAAUGACACCAUGGAAGUGAUAGUUCUAUAUACCUUUCAGGGCAUCAUUUGCAUGAUUAUAAUGGCACCAGCUUCAAACGCUGCUUCAGAAAGUUAUCAGCUACUGCUAUAGUCCCUGAUGUAACACAUUUUUAAUGACCACACAUAAGGCAAGAUAGGAAAUAAUAAAACAAAGAAGUGGGAUGUCUAUGGACAUCCAAGUCACGGUUAUCCCAAAGGUGUUGGGGGUUUUUCCCCAAAAAAGGCAGCUCGACUUUCUUGGGCGUUUUUUUUCUGAAAAUGUUUCACAUCUCAUCCAAGAAGCUUCUUAAGUUCUGAAAAAGGAGGAUGAUGUUUGGGAAGUACUGCAGGUGACAAAGUCAUUGACAUGACCAAACUUCACUGAAAUCAAUUCAGGGCAUAAAUAAACACAAGCAUAGCAGAGAGAAGAAAAGAAGAUGCAGUAAGCAUAAUUUAUCUUUUCUAUUAUUCUAGAAUGUUAAUGUUGGUAUUUAAGCAGGAUUAAAUAUGUCCUUAUAAAUGACAUAUAACCAUGAGAUCAGGCUGCCCCCAAACUGCUGGCACCUGGUUUUUUUUUCUCACUUGUUCUUUUCAAGGCCUCUCCUCAGCAUCAGCAAGGCAAAGUGAACUAUAAAAGCCUGCUGCAAAACAGCUGGGGAAGUAUUGGAGUAGCGGUAACUGUGAGUAGACUGUGGAAGAGAGAGUGUAGAACUAAGUAAUAUGCUUUGUGUGUUUUUUUGUUGGCUCUUUUGUGUCUUAAGCCUACCAAAUUGGUAAUAGUUUAAAAGAACUCAACUCAUAUUCUUUUUAUUUAAAAAAAGUAAAAAAAUUCUUUUAUUAAUGCAUUUAGAGUUGGAUAAGAAGAGACAGAUCUUUAAUAUUAAAACAAACCUGAAAAAAGUGGUAGUCUUGUAAAAGAGCAUACAAUAACUGGGGAAAGCUUGUAGUUUAUAGAUUUUGGUGGUGGGCAAGGGAUGAGUUCAAAAGUUUUAUUUUUAUAAGCUACGCUUUUAUCAGUCUGAAAUUGAAACAUGCCAGUGGAUAAACACAAAAUAAGCUGAAUUGCUUAUUAGUACCUUAUGCUGGAUGCACAGAAAAUUUAAAUCUUUGAGGCUAUUAUUCAUAGCUCAGACAUUUAUAUUUAUGAUUGUCUUUCUAAUCCAGGUCAAAAUACCCUCAACUGUACUUCUGAGAUCAAAAAUUUGUUUCCGUUUGCUAUCAUUCUGCCUCCAGGAGGCAUCAAGCUAGAUGUGUGAUGCCGGCAGGGAUAUUCUGGGGGUUGAAGUCCACAUAUCUUCAAACUGCUAAAGUUGAGAAAUACUGGUUUAAGAGAUCAUCUCAGUUUGACAUUGAUUAGCCUGAGAAACUUCACUCAUUCUGCCAUUCCAGGGCUACAAACAGAAUACAUUAAAGUCAUGUUAAAGUAUCAAUGUUAACAUGUUAAGAAACAAACAAAAUCCUAGAACUGCAACUCCUGUUCCCUCUCUUAAAGUCUCUACUUGAACAUGUUUAAUGCUAAACUAUAAUUUCCCUUCCAGAAGGCAGAAAAGUAUAUCUCUACCCUUGCCCCAAACAGAUAUGAAAAAUAUUUACAUAUGAAAAUAAGCUAAAGAAAUAUAGCUAUCCAUAUUCUUCUCUUCAAUUUUUGGGGCUUUCUUUAAUUAUUCCCAUAAGCUUUCACGUGCAUUUUAUUAUCAAUAUUUGUUAUACCUGCCUUUUAGUGAGUCCAAAUACAACUUCUCUUCAAUUUACAAGGAAGAGGAAAAGAGAAGAGAACCAAUUUGUCAACUGCAACUUUCAACAUCCAAUUAAAUUGACAAAAGAUAAUUUUUUACCCUACUCUCUGUUAUAGCUAUCUUUGCCAGUUAUUUAAAAUGUUAGAGCUUGCUGAAUUUUUACUUACUGCUGACCAACGCUUGUCAAAUUGCUUUUUUAUAUGAACCAAUCACUUUUUUGAAGAAGAAAAGGGCGGGUUCCACUCGAGGGCUCACCUACACCUGCCUCCUAGUUGUUUUCCCAAGAAGUACCCAGCACAGUUUCCACCGCUGAAGAAAGUGAGUCGGGCGGGUUAGAUUGUACGACGUUGCAUUUAAAAAUAAUGGACAGAAGUAUUUUCGUGACUAUACACUCCUUCCCCCCCUCCCCAGCUGCCAUCCGUCGACUCUAGAGGCUGUUCGGGGUAAGUUAGCUUCUUCUACGGUGCGACCUUACACGGUUCACCUGAUAAAGUUGAUCUCUCCCAUUUGGAGCGGGCGGGCGCUUCAAGACAGCUGAUUCUGAGACAGCCUGUUGCUGAGGUAGCGAGGUUCUCAGGAAAGGCAGGUAACUACAAUCCCUCCGCGGGACGCGGAGAUGAUGGUCUGAGGGUUUAUUCCCAUUCACUUAGUGACCCAGCAAGACCGAGCGUGUGAGUUCCAAGGGGAACAGGUGAGAGCCAGCUUUGCCUUCCCUUCUUGCCCACAGGCAGCUCCCACAGGUGUUACCCGAGAGAAGCGCCCUGCUUCCAUCUCACGCUCUCGCUUCCCGGAAAAGAGGAAAGGGGGGGGUCUGUCGAGCGGCACUCACCUAUCUCGCGGCGCCGAGUGUGUGCCGGUCCUAACACCCUCCCCCCUGCCUUCCACCAGCGCCUUGUACUAAAGUCGCGGGAGGUGGAGGGUGGUAUUGGUGCUCAGUGAAAGGAAGAGUCUCUUUGCGGCUCGGUUGCGCUGCAUGAGCUAAAACAGAGGUGGCUUUCAGCUCCGCGCUCUUGAAUAGUCCUGCCAGUAGAAGAGGAUUUCCGUCUGGUGUUUUCAAGAAUCCCUGCGGAUUUGCGCCUCACCGGUGGGUUCUUUAAUCCUAUAUGCGUCUCUUCGUAAAACAAUCCCCAGAACUCAAGAGAAAAUCUCCUUAAAUAUCUUUGGAUUUACUUCUGAACACAGAUCCAUGGAGCUGCACUUCAAAUCUCAUGGGAGUUAAAGCAAUCCCCAUGAAAUAUGUACAUCAGCUUCCCCCACUACCUUUUCAAUUGUUCUGAAACAUGCCUGCCCUCUUUGACUUUUACCAUUCCUCAACAGCCUUCUUGCACAUACAACAAGCAAGCAGGAAUACCACAGGACUCUUUUCUUCCCAGACUAUCCUGAAGGACCCAGCAGAAAAGUAUAGUGGCAUGGACACAGCCCUUCUUGAACAAAACUGAUACUGAAAAAGUCUGCACCACGCUUGAGAAAAAUAAAGUCCUUGAAAGAAAUUCGGACUGCCCCUUGCCCCCCUAACAGAGAAGGAAAGACCCGGACGCUUUCUAGUUUCAGAAUAUGGCAGAGAGCAGUAGUGCCGCCAAAGCCCCUUCGGGGGGGGGCCGGGGCCAAAAGCUCCCCG